Molecule: ribosomal RNA, 452 nt
Filed under: uncultured bacterium
Lineage: Bacteria
Description: bacterial SSU rRNA
Rfam family: Bacterial small subunit ribosomal RNA
Source: RNAcentral
ACUCGACUCCUACGGGAGCAGCAGUGGGGGAAUAUUGCACAAUGGGCGCAAGCCUGAUGCAGCGACGCCGCGUGAGGGAUGACGGCCUUCGGGUUGUAAACCUCUGUUAGCAGGGAAGAAGAGAGAUUGACGGUACCUGCAGAGAAAGCGCCGGCUAACUACGUGCCAGCAGCCGCGGUAAUACGUAGGGCGCGAGCGUUGUCCGGAAUUAUUGGGCGUAAAGAGCUUGUAGGCGGUUUGUCGCGUCUGCUGUGAAAGGCCGGAGCUUAACUCCGUGUAUUGCAGUGGGUACGGGCAGACUAGAGUGCAGUAGGGGAGACUGGAAUUCCUGGUGUAGCGGUGGAAUGCGCAGAUAUCAGGAGGAACACCGAUGGCGAAGGCAGGUCUCUGGGCUGUAACUGACGCUGAGAAGCGAAAGCAUGGGGAGCGAACAGGAUUAGAUACCCUGGUAG